Pseudophryne corroboree (corroboree frog) is the source of this 803-nucleotide long non-coding RNA. RefSeq lists it as uncharacterized. The transcript is spliced from 4 exons. The record is from RefSeq and is a predicted model, not a curated record. Lineage: Eukaryota; Metazoa; Chordata; Amphibia; Anura; Myobatrachidae.
GGCAGACAGAAGAACCCUCAGGUGCAUAAUCAGCUUGGAGGGAGUUUCAGCAAUUAGUGUCCCAGUCCCAUGCUCAAACUGAAUGUGUUGCAGUGUGUAUGCUGAGCAGACUUCCCAGGCAGGAGACUCAGCAAAGCAGGAAAUCCUGACCUGCAGGAUAUUGACAGAUGUGACAUGCUUGCUGAGGAGCCGAAAUCAGUAAAAAGGUGACAGGUCUGACACAUGGACGGAUGGGGGAGACUGAGGAGGAUCCCGAAUAUGAUGAGUGAUGAAGCUGACAGCAUCCUGGCAGUGUACCAACAAGAAGCAAUCAGUGUCAACUCUAGAGAUUUUCUGUCUGAAUCCACCUGCGUUCUGUCUGCAAUGCUGUUUUUGGAAACUCAAACCCCCCCACCCCCCUGUUGAACCCUAUUGCCUUGUCCUCAAUGAGAGCAUCAUAACAGGCAGCAACGCCAAAACGCAGUCAAGCGAGACCGCCAUCGUCGCAAGUGCUGGCCAGUGAAGACCCUGACAACACCACAUAAGCAUAUUAUUGGUCAUGCACAUUAGACACCACAUUGGACAUGCGGACCCUGGGUCCAGAGUCCCAGCCAGAGAAGCCGGUGUUACACAGUAUACCGGUGUUACACAGUAUACAAUGUAUUACACAGAAACCUGUUUUUUUUCCUUUUUUUUAUUUUUCAAUAAAAACUGUAUACAUGAUUUUAAAUCCAUAUCUGUUGCACAGAUCAGCUUCGAGCACUGCUUUUUAAUGUGCAAUAUGUUGUGGUAUUUUUAGUAUAUACAUUGAAGUGCAAUUAGUA